RNAcentral lists this ribosomal RNA (604 nucleotides) under Yersinia enterocolitica. RNAcentral's name for it is "partial 23S ribosomal RNA". It matches the Rfam family "Bacterial large subunit ribosomal RNA", at positions 586 to 1191 of the family's 2925-position model. Lineage: Bacteria; Pseudomonadati; Pseudomonadota; Gammaproteobacteria; Enterobacterales; Yersiniaceae. The record is from RNAcentral.
UCGUGGUGUGACUGCGUACCUUUUGUAUAAUGGGUCAGCGACUUAUAUUUUGUAGCAAGGUUAACCGAAUAGGGGAGCCGUAGGGAAACCGAGUCUUAACUGGGCGAAUAGUUGCAAGGUAUAGACCCGAAACCCGGUGAUCUAGCCAUGGGCAGGUUGAAGGUUGGGUAACACUAACUGGAGGACCGAACCGACUAAUGUUGAAAAAUUAGCGGAUGACUUGUGGCUGGGGGUGAAAGGCCAAUCAAACCGGGAGAUAGCUGGUUCUCCCCGAAAGCUAUUUAGGUAGCGCCUCGUGAACUCAUCUUCGGGGGUAGAGCACUGUUUCGGCUAGGGGGUCAUCCCGACUUACCAAACCGAUGCAAACUCCGAAUACCGAAGAAUGUUAUCACGGGAGACACACGGCGGGUGCUAACGUCCGUCGUGAAGAGGGAAACAACCCAGACCGCCAGCUAAGGUCCCAAAGUCAUGGUUAAGUGGGAAACGAUGUGGGAAGGCAUAGACAGCCAGGAUGUUGGCUUAGAAGCAGCCAUCAUUUAAAGAAAGCGUAAUAGCUCACUGGUCGAGUCGGCCUGCGCGGAAGAUGUAACGGGGCUAAACCAUG